AAGCAUAGUAUAAGAUAGCCACUACAUGCUCCAUGUAACGAAGAUUCUGAAUGCAUCGAUGGUGCACAUUGCAUUCAACGGAAUAAUACAACGUCUGGAAAACGUUGUUACUGUCAGGAUGGAUAUGAUGAAGAUGGUCUUCUAGCGUGUAAUGGUAGUCCAUCCAUCUUUCCAGUUCACAUGUUAAUUUUAUUAGCUGUUUUAAGUCUGUUAAAAGGAAAUGUUAUUUAAACAGAUUACUUUGAGACAUAAAAUAAUGGAUUUCUCGAAAAUACAAUCUUGUACAAUAUAAAAAAUUCUGAAUUUUAAAUUAAACAUAUGUCAUGUAGCAGUAAUAAUAAUAGGAAGUAAUGCUUAUUCAUUGAAGCUCAUCUUAAUAUUAUAUUCAAGAAUUAUAUCUAAAAAUAGAAGAAAGUAUACAAUUAUUUAUAACUAAUAUAUUCUAUUACAUAUGUUACAUGAUGCCUUUAUAAAUAUAUAUAUAUCUUAAAUUAUAUAUUUAAAUUAUGAAACUGUAUUUUUGGAUACAUUAUUUGAAAACAGAACACGUGUAACGUAAACGCUCGUUCCUCAAUUACAUGUGCUUUAAUUCUUAAUUGCCUUGAAAGUUUAUACUUACGUAAAGUUUAAAUUAUAUUACAUAUCAAACAUUAUUCGACUAUACAAGCAAUACAUUUCAAAAUACUUCAGUAUUGUAACAUAUCUAUAAUACAAGACUCUUAUAAUUUAAAAACAUUCUAAUGUCGUAACAAAUUAUAGUAUACAGCAUGUUUACUUUUUUAUAUUCUUCAAAUUAUAAAGAUUUGAAAACUAGAAAUGCUUUAAGCAGUUAAGAAUUAAAACGAUGAUAUACUAAAAUCUAUUAUAGAAUAACGUAAGAAUGUAAUCUAUUAACCUUUUGCGGAUGUGAAUUUUUCCGAAUGUUGAAAGUAUUUUACACGUGAUAGGAGACUAUAUAAUGAAGACUUCAAUAUUAGGAGUAGCAAAGUAAAUGCCAUUUUAUUCUUCUUUAAAUAAUAAUAUUAAUUUUUUGUGAAAAUACUAGCAAAUCUCAGCUCUAUAAAUAAGGACACGAUGCGCUUAUUUGACGGAAUUUAUCUGCAAGGGGUUAAAAUUUUGAUCGCAGUAUCAUAUCCAUACCAUUUUUACAGCACGAAUAAGUACGCGUAUAUUCGUGAGUUGUGCGUAUUAUUUUUUCAAGUACCACGAAGUAAAAAGACUCCACAAAUUGUUUGUUAUGUUAUUCUUGUUACAGUGUCAAAUCAUAUACUGUAUUUUUAUUUUAGAAAUACUUAAAGAACUUAUCUCGAUUACUUAAAUCCCCAUGUAACUGAUACACAAUAGUAACUUCUACACAAGUUUCUCAACAAUUAAAACUUCUUAUAUUUUUUGAAGAUUAUUCUAUUGAAGCCAUUUGUUUAAUUUUUAGAAUAUUAUAGAGCGAUAUUAUUACAAGCAUUAUGAUCAAUAUUAAUUUGUGAUUGAAUUUAUUUUUAUUAAAAAGACGUUAUCGGCAUAUUACUAAUAUAUUUAUAAAUAUUCUGCAAAAAACAUACAAAGAUUAAUCUAUAUUGUUGAAUAUCCAUCUGUAUAUUAUCGUCGAGUAUUGAUCGUACACCUUAAAUGAUCAAAUCAUGCGAUAUUAUAUUGCCUUUGGUAUACUGAAAGCAAAAAAGUUCAUAACUUAAGGACUUUAUAGACACUUAGUAGGUGGAAAUAAUGAAAACUGCGGGAUACAAAAGCCACAAGUAUAUAAAUUUAUAGACUAUAACUACACAUUAUACGGAAUGCAAAUGAUUGUAAAUUUAAGUAUAGUUAUACCGAGCUAAUUUGAUCUCUGCUAUUCGUUUAUAUUCAGUAGGGAGACAGAAAGUACAGUAGAAUUCGUUUUUCAUCGGCAGAACAAGUUACAAGACAGGUAGUUUAUACAAUUGAAUGGUUCUUAUAUUAGAAUCCCAACAAAUGUUCUCACUAUCAAUGCUUAUCAGUUUAGAUAAUCGAAGCUAGACUUUAGACAACUGGAGUCCAACACGUACAUCUAUGUGUAUUCUGGAUACAGCUAAACUAAAAUUUACAAAUUACAAGUGAUGUAUCGUAUGCACAAUUUAUAAAAAUAACAGUCAAGUGGUAUCGAUCACGUGGUAAUUAUUUAAAAAAGGAUUCUCCUCAUCGAUAUCUAUGAUUUUUUGGAUAUGUUAUCAGGAACGUAACUUUAAACGACUUGUUCCUAUAUAUGUAAAACUCCCGUUCAGCCCUAGUUUUUGAAGAAACUUUUGCCUAUACAUGCGCCACUGCACGAAACUCUCUCCCCGCUGUAGUAGUCGACGCUGCCUUUCAUCAACGGACCGAUGACAUAAUAGUGGUACAGACCUCAUAUCUAUAGGUUGUAUGUUAAAAAGAGAUAAUACUGCAAUAGUCGACUGGUAGGUAACAUGGAUUUUCGACUUUUUCCUCUAACUUUCUCCUCUAACAAGAAUAAUAGUGAUUGGUAUUGGUACUGGGGGGUGCCUAUUCUUUUAUUUUAUAAUUGUUAACAAUCCUUUCAGUCUGAAUCCGGCAGUUGUUUAAUAAUUAUAAAGUACAAUAAUGGGCACCACCGCCCCGAUUGAGAAAACUACUUCGAUCAAUACAAUACUAAUUUAUAUUAUUCUUGAAAGACGAAAAAGUUGAUGCAAACAACGUUUUUACAACAUCUGUCGAUUUUGUGAAAAUUAGUGUUACUACCAUAGUGUUUGUUUGAAACAGUUCACCCAUCACAUCUACGAGUCUUGUCCACCGUGAUACAUUUAUAGAAACGGCAGAUAAGCAGCCACCGCAUGUUGACGCACAUUCUACCUCGGCGUGCACGUAUAACCA
This is a non-coding RNA of Nomia melanderi (Alkali bee), 2856 nucleotides long. The record is from RefSeq and is a predicted model, not a curated record. NCBI's taxonomy places the organism in Eukaryota, Metazoa, Arthropoda, Insecta, Hymenoptera, Halictidae.